Notolabrus celidotus (New Zealand spotty) is the source of this 4132-nucleotide RNA transcript. RefSeq lists it as uncharacterized. The record is from RefSeq and is a predicted model, not a curated record. The transcript has 8 exons. NCBI's taxonomy places the organism in Eukaryota, Metazoa, Chordata, Actinopteri, Labriformes, Labridae.
AAAAGAUUCGCCAGUAUUAAAGUAAAAAGUAAUUUGAAGUUUGUCUCAGUUAUUUCCGACGCUAUUUUAAUGUUACUUCAAGUUUGCUAGGUUGGGAGGCUAUUUUUAUCACUGUUAUAAAAACCCACCAGCACAGUUUUGACUGAGAAUUUAAUGUUUUCGUUAUCUUUGUUGUUGAGAGGAAGGUAUUGCACGUGUUUAAUUUUUAUUUUGAACAAGUGCUAAGUUAGCUAAGUAGCUGUUACAGAAGUAUAUGAAGACAUGUUGAGCUGUAAUUUCUGUGGCAAGGUAGUUCAAUCAUUAAGGGGCUAUGUGCUUCAUUGUAAACUUCAUCGGAAUGAGCCACGUUGUUUCUUUAAGUGUAUUGAAGCUGACUGCAAGCAGACAUUUACCAGGUAUGGAGCGUUUAAGGCUCAUUUUUACCGGAGACACACUGCCCCGACCAAUGUAGCUGUUGUGAAGGAGGUUGCCGCUUUUAAAUGCGCAAUGGCGAUGUGUGAACGCCAGUGUCAAGACUCUAAAGAGUUAAUAGCUCAUCUGAAGAGCCAUAUUGUGGAAGGACAUGUGGUGACUUGUCCAGUAAGAGGAUGCGCAAACACUUUUAAGGUCAAAUCAUCUUUUACUGCCCACAUGUCACGUAAACACAGAGAAUUUUCAGACAGCAGCAUUCGUGAUUUAUAUAGAGAUUCUGCAUGCCAAUCAUCAUCUGUUCCAACCACAUCAGAUGACUUUGUCCCCCUGGUUUCUGAGGCAGCUGCAGAAUCCAGUACAGAUGAAGGUAAUACAGAAAUGUCCCCAGAAUUCUGUGAUCUUUUUCUGAGAAACGUUUCACUAUUCUACUUAAAAUUGCAGGGUCAGUUUCUACUGCCUGCUUCGACCAUACAGAACAUUGUGGAGGAAAUGCAGAACAUACAUGAGUUGGGUCAGACAUACAGUUUGAGUAAACUUGCAUCACUGUUGAAAGAUGACACAUCAUUGUCAGAUGAGGACAUCAACAAAGUGUGUGAGUCUGUCAAAGGCUUUGAUCUGUUUUCUGCAUGUCAUACGGGGCCAAUGAGGACAGUGUACUCAAGAGCUCAGACUUUUAAAAAAGCCUUCAACUAUGUGGAACCAAAGAAAAUGUUUUUAGGGAGAGAUGAGAACAGGAUAGAUAGGUUUGCCUACUAUGUGCCUUUAAGAGAGACUUUAAAAUGUUUGUUAGAGUCUGAUCUGAUGCAGAAAUCAGAAGAGCCCUAUACUGAGUCUCCUGUUGAUGUUCUAUGUGACAUAAGUGAUAGUAAGUUAUUUAAAUCAAAUGAUUUUUUUGGUCAAAACCCAUCAUGCCUCAAGCUAGUACUUUACCAGGAUGCCUUUGAAGUUGUUAACCCUUUAGGCUCUGCAAGGACAAAACACAAGGUAUUAGCUGUAUAUGCAUCAGUGGCUAACUUGCCACUUCAUGUUCGUUCAGACACAGACCACAUGUCUCUUGUCUUACUGUGCAGGGAGAAGGAUUUCAAAGAGUUUGGUCAUGCUAAGGUGUUCUCAGAAUUACUAGCAGACUUGAAGGAAUUGGAGGACAAUGGAAUUGUUGCACCAGAUGAAACUAAAGUCAAAGGAACCUUGUUUUGCAUUGCUGGAGAUAAUUUGGGUUCUCACUGCAUUGGUGGCUUCUCUGAAAAUUUUAGUUCCUCAAAGUACUUCUGCAGGUACUGCCUAAUAACCAGAUCUGAAUUUCAGGAUGCUGACCCAAAUCUGUGUGGACCAGAGCGUACCCAAGAUAACUACAACUCUGCUGUUGAUCGCCUUCAGAUUGACAAUACACCAGAUGUCGAAGGAGUAAAGUUCCGACAUCUUGGAAAUGGGUGACAACAUAAGAAGUUCAAUCACUAAAGUACUGCCAGACCUGACUGCCUCAAUCCUUGAAAUCGUCCUGGAGGCACUACAAUCAUUAGGGGUGGAGACAUCUGAGGACUUACAGUUCAUCAAUGAGACUGAUCUGGACUGUGUCCUGAGACCAGUUCAGGCAAGAAAACUGCUGGCUGCAUGGAAGAAAACCACACCGAACAGUGAAAUUUCCAGCCAGGCCAGCAUAUCAUCUCCAUCUUCGUGCUCCACAUUUUCUGCCUCCCCUUUGCCCAGUUGUCCAAUGUCCUCUCUGAACUGGGUCGAUAACUUUAAAAUUCCAUGCGAAAAUUUCCCGGAAGACUUGAUGCAAUGUCUUCAGAGAGAAAAAAGGCCAAAGCCAAGAUUGCGGAGGGAGAUGAUCCGCAUCAUUGUAAAGGAGAUGAUGAAAGCCUGUGCCUCUCCAUCUAGAAGAGCCUCAACAGAAAUUGCCAAAAGACUGGUUGCAAUGUAUCCCAACUCACUGCAGGAUGUUAUAGAAGGGGAUGUGGUAGGACAAGGAUACCACUCAUUGGUGAAACAGAUGCAAGCACGAAUUGAGAAUAUGAAGAGGUCUUUUACACCAGUGAUACAGAAGCGCAAACGACGAGGAUCAGAUGACACAGAUGAAGUCCCACCUGAAAAGCGAGCUACUAUUCAAGACACAUAUGGCUGCAUAAAGUGGGACAUUAAGUUUUUGCCAGUCAGUGAGACACUGGAAAGCCAGCAGGAGAAGAAAGAAGAAAUGAAGCUUCUCAGUGAACAGACAAGCUUCAGUCCUGAAGAAGUAAAAACUCUAAUGAAAUGCACCUACUACUCUCAGCGUAAAGCAGUCAACAAGGGAGCAGACUUGCAAAUACUCAUAGAAGAGUGGCCUUUUUUGUUUCAGGAGGUUGGAAUGGCUGUCCAUUUUGAAGAGCUUACUGGGGUAUCGCUAAAAGAUACUUUCCUCACCAGUCUGGAAAAGAAAGCAAAACGGCUUCUGGACUUUCUGAAAACCACUUGCGCAGACAAGAGCAAGCGAGUCCUGGAGGCUGUCAUAAAGCUCCGGAUGCAGAGAGGACAGCUGAAGGGCUGCUCAGAAGAUGUCAAAGAUAUGUUGCUCCUUCUUCUGUCCUAUUUUGAUGAAAAAGAGGAGACCCUCUUCCACUAUGUUGAAGAAACAUGCCUGGCAAAAGAAGUCCAAAUGGAAAGCCUGCCUGUGACACCAUGUAUCAUUGUUUGUGGCUCCUCCUGCUAUGCAUCGAGGCUGUUCAUGCUGAGUAUUGACCACAAAGUUGUGAAUGACCAAAUCACUGACUUCAUCUCUGCAAUCUGUUUGAUGCUUGGAAGCUACUACUGCCUGAACAUCCACUAUCCAGUGAAACUUGGCUCCACACUUGAGUUCCUUCAGAGGCGCUGAAUUUGAACUGCAACCCGAGGGAAACAAUUCAAAGGCCCUGUGACUCUUAGGAAACGUGCCCUGUUUUUGUGAACAGCAUCAGAAGAGAGUGACAGGCAAACCAGUGUCAAGAAGAUGACUGACCAAAACGUGCUGAAGACAGAAUCAAACCUUGGUUGGAAAUUCUUGAUGGGAUCAAGUCAGUCUGCAGUGAAACCUCCUUUGUCAACAUGUGAGUCUUCAAGUAGAGAUGAUGGCAAUUUUCUGGAUUCCCUAAACAUCACACCAUGUCUGUAUAAGACUCACCUGUCUUCAGUCAAGUCUGCACCUAUAGAUUCACUCAGAGAGAGGAUCCUGCCAGUCCAAAGUGAACACCCGAUGGACAACAUAUGAGUACUCCAGCAGAGCUUGUAUCUUCGACACCAUGUGCAUUUGAAACUCCACUCCAUGUUUGAGUGUUUUCUUCAACCAAGGCCGGACUCACUGACUCAUUACUCUUAAUCAGUCGGGGGCAAGUGACUAUUUGUUUCAUGUUUAUUCAUUCCACCAUGGAUUACCAGUCAUACUAUAUAUGGACACAUGCUGUACUCUCAAGAUCUAUGCUGCUUUGUGAGUGUAUAGACAAUUAAUAUGAUCUGUUCAGUCUGUUUCACAGAUGGUAUGUAAAAUGUUCUUAAUAAUUAUUAUUGAUCACAGUACCUUGGUUAAUAUGGGCAUCUUUAAAAAAAAUUUAGAUUUAGUAGUUGCUAAAUGUAAAAGCUACGCCAAACCACUGAUGUUGCUCAUGUUUUGUACUGUAUUUUUUACGGUGAAAUACCGGCAGCUGUGGUUGCCAGGAUUUUACCGUGAAAUUAAACUGGUCAAAAUAAAAUAUUGUAAUUUGUUGUACAA